This 468-nucleotide ribosomal RNA is filed under the name uncultured bacterium. RNAcentral's name for it is "partial 16S ribosomal RNA". It matches the Rfam family "Bacterial small subunit ribosomal RNA", at positions 28 to 507 of the family's 1533-position model. The record is from RNAcentral.
GACGAACGCUGGCGGCGUGCUUAACACAUGCAAGUCGAACGGAAAGGCCCUGCUUUUGUGGGGUGCUCGAGUGGCGGACGGGUGAGUAACACGUGAGUAACCUGCCCUUGACUUUGGGAUAACUUCAGGAAACUGGGGCUAAUACCGGAUAGGAGCUCCUGCUGCAUGGUGGGGGUUGGAAAGUUUCGGCGGUUGGGGAUGGACUCGCGGCUUAUCAGCUUGUUGGUGGGGUAGUGGCUUACCAAGGCUUUGACGGGUAGCCGGCCUGAGAGGGUGACCGGCCACAUUGGGACUGAGAUACGGCCCAGACUCCUACGGGAGGAAGCAGUGGGGAAUAUUGCACAAUGGGCGGAAGCCUGAUGCAGCAACGCCGCGUGAGGGAUGACGGCCUUCGGGUUGUAAACCGCUUUCGCCUGUGACGAAGCGUGAGUGACGGUAAUGGGUAAAGAAGCACCGGCUAACUACGUG